UCAUCUUUUGUAGACUGAAAA
Molecule: non-coding RNA, 21 nt
Filed under: Caenorhabditis elegans
Lineage: Eukaryota; Metazoa; Nematoda; Chromadorea; Rhabditida; Rhabditidae
Source: RNAcentral